Molecule: ribosomal RNA, 452 nt
Filed under: uncultured bacterium
Lineage: Bacteria
Description: bacterial SSU rRNA
Rfam family: Bacterial small subunit ribosomal RNA
Source: RNAcentral
AUGGGAACGCGAAGAACCUUACCUACUCUUGACAUCCAGAGAACUUUCCAGAGAUGGAUUGGUGCCUUCGGGAACUCUGAGACAGGUGCUGCAUGGCUGUCGUCAGCUCGUGUUGUGAAUGUUGGGUUAAGUCCCGCAACGAGCGCAACCCUUAUCCUUUGUUGCCAGCGGUUAGGCCGGGAACUCAAAGGAGACUGCCAGUGAUAAACUGGAGGAAGGUGGGGAUGAUGUCAAGUCAUCAUGGCCCUUACGAGUAGGGCUACACACGUGCUACAAUGGCGCAUACAAAGAGAAGCGACCUCGCGAGAGCAAGCGGACCUCAUAAAGUGCGUCGUAGUCCGGAUUGGAGUCUGCAACUCGACUCCAUGAAGUCGGAAUCGCUAGUAAUCGUAGAUCAGAAUGCUACGGUGAAUACGUUCCCGGGUCUUGUACACACCGAGUCGUGGGGAGGG